RNAcentral lists this ribosomal RNA (327 nucleotides) under uncultured fungus. RNAcentral's name for it is "SSU rRNA". It matches the Rfam family "Eukaryotic small subunit ribosomal RNA", at positions 39 to 370 of the family's 1831-position model. Lineage: Eukaryota; Fungi. The record is from RNAcentral.
AAAGAUUAAGCCAUGCAUGUCUAAGUAUAAGCAAUUAUACCGUGAAACUGCGAAUGGCUCAUUAAAUCAGUUAUCGUUUAUUUGAUAGUACCUCAUUACUUGGAUAACCGUGGUAAUUCUAGAGCUAAUACAUGCUGAAAACCCCAACUUCGGAAGGGGUGUAUUUAUUAGAUAAAAAACCAAUGCCCUUCGGGGCUUCUUGGUGAUUCAUGAUAACUUUACGGAUCGCAUGGCCUUGCGCCGGCGACGGUUCAUUCAAAUUUCUGCCCUAUCAACUUUCGAUGGUAAGGUAUUGGCUUACCAUGGUUUCAACGGGUAACGGGGAAU